AGGAGUCUUCCCAACCCAUCUUGAAGAAAUUGGCGGAAGUGUUUAUGGCACCUAUGUGGUUCUGGGAAGGGGCUCUGUGCUGGUGGUUUGGGAUGGCAGUCUUUUGGAAGUGCAAACUUGAAUGGCCUCAGCUGCUGUGAAGACAGUUUCCCAGGCUUCUUCUCUCCCGUUCCCCACCCCCGAUGCUGGCAGGAAAGCUCUGGUCACCAAAGAUGAUAAAUAAAUGAAUUGUUCAUUUGGUUUCUGCUGUCUUGCCUCUUUCUCUUCAGUCAACGUUGUCAAAGGCUGCCCAGCAUGAAUCAGAAGUGCUGGCUGAACACUUACCCUAGACAUCUGGGGUUGUUUUGUGUGGCAGCAUUUACAUUUGAAUUCACCUCAUACCAUAGAAGAGAUUAACCAGUGGCUGCAGCUUCAUAUCCAGUGGGGAGUCACAGAAUGACUUUUUCUGUGCUGUUAUGUUCUGGACCAUAAAACACGUUGGUGAGGUCUGAUCAUUGUUUUACUGAAAAGGAGCUUCAAGGGUGCCCUCAAAUGAGCUUCUCCUUGCACCAUGUUAAAGGUAGGCUUCCACAAGAAAGUCUUUUGAACAACAAAAAA
This is a long non-coding RNA of Myotis davidii, 597 nucleotides long. RefSeq lists it as uncharacterized. NCBI's taxonomy places the organism in Eukaryota, Metazoa, Chordata, Mammalia, Chiroptera, Vespertilionidae. The transcript is spliced from 2 exons. The record is from RefSeq and is a predicted model, not a curated record.